UACGUAGGGUGCAAGCGUUGUCCGGAAUUAUUGGGCGUAAAGAGCUCGUAGGCGGUUUGUCGCGUCUGCUGUGAAAACUCGGGGCUUAACCCCGGGCCUGCAGUGGGUACGGGCAGACUAGAGUGCGGUAGGGGAGACUGGAAUUCCUGGUGUAGCGGUGAAAUGCGCAGAUAUCAGGAGGAACACCAACGGCGAAGGCAGCUCGCUGGGACGGAACUGACGCUAAGGCGCGAAAGCGUGGGGAGCAAACAGG
This 253-nucleotide ribosomal RNA is filed under the name uncultured bacterium. RNAcentral's name for it is "partial 16S ribosomal RNA". It matches the Rfam family "Bacterial small subunit ribosomal RNA", at positions 524 to 776 of the family's 1533-position model. The record is from RNAcentral.